This 876-nucleotide ribosomal RNA is filed under the name uncultured marine bacterium. RNAcentral describes it as "bacterial SSU rRNA". It matches the Rfam family "Bacterial small subunit ribosomal RNA", at positions 28 to 896 of the family's 1533-position model. The record is from RNAcentral.
GAUGAACGCUAGCGGCAAGCCUAACACAUGCAAGUCGAACGGUAACUUUUGGUGCUUGCACCGAAAGACGAGUGGCGAACGGGUGCGUAACGCGUAUGCAAUCUGCCUUUUACUAGGGUAUAGCCCAGAGAAAUUUGGAUUAAUCCCCUAUAAUAUCAUUUAAUCGCAUGAUUUUAUGAUUAAAGCUUCGGCGGUAAAAGAUGAGCAUGCGUCCUAUUAGUUAGUAGGUGAGGUAACGGCUCACCUAGACUCCGAUAGGUAGGGGUCCUGAGAGGGAGAUCCCCCACACUGGUACUGAGACACGGACCAGACUCCUACGGGAGGCAGCAGUGAGGAAUAUUGGACAAUGGACGAAAGUCUGAUCCAGCUAUGCCGCGUGCAGGAUGACGGCCCUAUGGGUUGUAAACUGCUUUUAUACAGGAAGAAAAACUCCGACGUGUCGGAACUUGACGGUACUGUAAGAAUAAGGAUCGGCUAACUCCGUGCCAGCAGCCGCGGUAAUACGGAGGAUCCAAGCGUUAUCCGGAAUCAUUGGGUUUAAAGGGUCCGUAAGCGGUUUUUUAAGUCAGAGGUGAAAUCCUGCAGCUCAACUGUAGAAUUGCCUUUGAUACUGAAAGACUUGAGUUAUUGUGAAGUGGUUAGAAUGUGUGGUGUAGCGGUGAAAUGCAUAGAUAUCACACAGAAUACCAAUUGCGAAGGCAGAUCACUAACAAUAUACUGACGCUCAAGGACGAAAGCGUGGGUAGCGAACAGGAUUAGAUACCCUGGUAGUCCACGCCGUAAACGAUGGAUACUAGCUGUAUGUCUACUUCAGGUAGAUGUGUGGCUAAGCGAAAGUGAUAAGUAUUCCACCUGGGGAGUACGAUCGCAAGAUUG